RNAcentral lists this ribosomal RNA (1240 nucleotides) under Dunaliella salina. RNAcentral describes it as "eukaryotic LSU rRNA". The stretch from base 622 to 1240 matches the Rfam family "Eukaryotic large subunit ribosomal RNA", at positions 1 to 647 of the family's 3401-position model. Lineage: Eukaryota; Viridiplantae; Chlorophyta; Chlorophyceae; Chlamydomonadales; Dunaliellaceae. The record is from RNAcentral.
UGAACCUGCGGAAGGAUCAUUGAAUCUAUCAAUAACCACACCGUGCACUCUUUUGUCCGGCCCAUCAUUCUCUCCGGAGUUUGGUGCUUCCCGGGUAGCAUUAACUUGCUGCUUGGGUUGGGCUUGGCUGCCCAUUAAUUUGGGUAGUUAGGCUGGUCUUUACCAACCAACAACACCAAAUCAAACCUAAAGCCAAAGAUAUGUGCUCGGCCUAGCCGUCACAUCCUAACUGAGACAACUCUCAACAACGGAUAUCUUGGCUCUCGCAACGAUGAAGAACGCAGCGAAAUGCGAUACGUAGUGUGAAUUGCAGAAUUCCGUGAAUCAUCAAAUCUUUGAACGCAAAUUGCGCCCAAGGCUUCGGCUGAGGGCAUGUUUGCCUCAGCGUCGGGUUAAUCUCACUCCCCAUCUCCCACAGCGGAGCAAAGGGUAGUGGACCUGGCUGUUCCAGAGGUCGAGUGCUUCAUUGCUCUCAUCAAUAGCUCUGGAUCAGCUGAAGAGCAGAGGCUAGCUCAAGGACCCGUCAAGGGCCGCAACUGGGUAGGCAGCUCACGCUUGCUAUUUCUAGUUGUUGGCUUGGGACCAUGAGCUCGGCCCUCAAACAGGAACCCUCUUUUUUCUCGACCUGAGCUCAAGCAAGACCACCCGCUGAACUUAAGCAUAUCAAUAAGCGGAGGAAAAGAAACUAACAAGGAUUCCCUUAGUAAUGGCGAAUGAAACGGGAAUAGCCCAACUUGAAAAUCUCCCUUUGGAGAAUUGUAGUCUAGAGAAGCGCCCUCUGCGGCGGCCGGAGCCUAAGUCCGUUGGAAAACGGCGUCAGAGAGGGUGAGAACCCCGUCGGCUCUAGGCUUAGUUGCUCCACGAGGUGCUUUCCACGAGUCGGGUUGUUUGGGAAUGCAGCCCAAAAUGGGAGGUACAUCCCUUCUAAGGCUAAAUACUGGCGAGAGACCGAUAGCGAACAAGUACCGUGAGGGAAAGAUGAAAAGAACUUUGAAAAGAGAGUUAAAAAGUGCUUGAAAUUGUUGAGAGGGAAGCGUUUGGAGGUUAUGGGUGCGCCUAGGCUUAUACGGUUCUAACGAGCUGUUGUAUGUGCUAGGUGCUGGUCAACAUGGGUUAGCUUGGCGGGAUAACAGCGGGGGUUGUUCACUCCGUCUAUGCCGCCGGGUUGAUCAAGGUGUGAAUGGCGCUCUGUCCCUCGGGAACUGCGUCAUCAAGAUGUUGGCAGAAGGCCUUCAAACGA